Molecule: long non-coding RNA, 178 nt
Organism: Thalassophryne amazonica
Lineage: Eukaryota; Metazoa; Chordata; Actinopteri; Batrachoidiformes; Batrachoididae
Exons: 4
Source: RefSeq, a predicted model, not a curated record
CAGCUUGUCACAUUAUCUUAAGACAUUGGAAGGCAUCAGAAAUUCCACAGGUGAAAGAAUGGGUGUGUGCAAUGACUGAAACUGCAUCCUAUGAAUGUAUGCUUAGUAGAAUGAUUGAUGACAGGGAGGAGGGGGUGACCCUUUGGGACAGGUUUUGGAAUUACAUAAAGGUAAAUAA